RNAcentral lists this ribosomal RNA (492 nucleotides) under uncultured bacterium. Its description in RNAcentral is "partial 16S ribosomal RNA". It matches the Rfam family "Bacterial small subunit ribosomal RNA", at positions 29 to 507 of the family's 1533-position model. The record is from RNAcentral.
AGUGAACGCUGGCGGUAGGCCUAACACAUGCAAGUCGAACGGCAGCACAGUAAGAGCUUGCUCUUACGGGUGGCGAGUGGCGGACGGGUGAGGAAUACAUCGGAAUCUACUUUUUCGUGGGGGAUAACGUAGGGAAACUUACGCUAAUACCGCAUACGACCUACGGGUGAAAGCAGGGGAUCUUCGGACCUUGCGCGAUUGAAUGAGCCGAUGUCGGAUUAGCUAGUUGGCGGGGUAAAGGCCCACCAAGGCGACGAUCCGUAGCUGGUCUGAGAGGAUGAUCAGCCACACUGGAACUGAGACACGGUCCAGACUCCUACGGGAGGCAGCAGUGGGGAAUAUUGGACAAUGGGCGCAAGCCUGAUCCAGCCAUACCGCGUGGGUGAAGAAGGUCUUCGGGUUGUAAAGCCCUUUUGUUGGGAAAGAAAAGCAGCAGGUUAAUACCCCGCUGUGCUGACGGUACCCAAAGAAUAAGCACCGGCUAACUUCGUG